This 290-nucleotide ribosomal RNA is filed under the name uncultured bacterium. RNAcentral describes it as "partial 16S ribosomal RNA". It matches the Rfam family "Bacterial small subunit ribosomal RNA", at positions 28 to 313 of the family's 1533-position model. The record is from RNAcentral.
GACGAACGCUGGCGGCGUGCUUAACACAUGCAAGUCGAGCGGUAAGGCCCUUUUGGGGGUACACGAGCGGCGAACGGGUGAGUAACACGUGGGUGACCUGCCCUCAGCUCUGGGAUAAGCCUGGGAAACUGGGUCUAAUACUGGAUAUGACCUUUCCUCGCAGUGGGGGUUGGGGUGGUAAAGUUUUUCGGCGUGGGGAGUGGGCCCGGCGGCCUAUCAGCUUGUUGGGUGGGGUGAUGGCCUACCAAGGCGACGACGGGUAGCCGGCCUGAGAGGGCGACCGGCCACAC